GAGAGCGGCGGACGGGUGAGUAAUGCCUAGGAAUCUGCCUGGUAGUGGGGGAUAACGUUCGGAAACGGACGCUAAUACCGCAUACGUCCUACGGGAGAAAGCAGGGGACCUUCGGGCCUUGCGCUAUCAGAUGAGCCUAGGUCGGAUUAGCUAGUUGGUGGGGUAAUGGCUCACCAAGGCGACGAUCCGUAACUGGUCUGAGAGGAUGAUCAGUCACACUGGAACUGAGACACGGUCCAGACUCCUACGGGAGGCAGCAGUGGGGAAUAUUGGACAAUGGGCGAAAGCCUGAUCCAGCCAUGCCGCGUGUGUGAAGAAGGUCUUCGGAUUGUAAAGCACUUUAAGUUGGGAGGAAGGGUUGUAGAUUAAUACUCUGCAAUUUUGACGUUACCGACAGAAUAAGCACCGGCUAACUCUGUG
RNAcentral lists this ribosomal RNA (420 nucleotides) under Pseudomonas sp. RNAcentral describes it as "bacterial SSU rRNA". It matches the Rfam family "Bacterial small subunit ribosomal RNA", at positions 91 to 507 of the family's 1533-position model. The record is from RNAcentral. Lineage: Bacteria; Pseudomonadati; Pseudomonadota; Gammaproteobacteria; Pseudomonadales; Pseudomonadaceae.